AUUGAACGCUGGCGGCAUGCCUUACACAUGCAAGUCGAACGGCAGCACGGGUGCUUGCACCUGGUGGCGAGUGGCGAACGGGUGAGUAAUACAUCGGAACAUGUCCUGUAGUGGGGGAUAGCCCGGCGAAAGCCGGAUUAAUACCGCAUACGAUCUACGGAUGAAAGCGGGGGACCUUCGGGCCUCGCGCUAUAGGGUUGGCCGAUGGCUGAUUAGCUAGUUGGUGGGGUAAAGGCCUACCAAGGCGACGAUCAGUAGCUGGUCUGAGAGGACGACCAGCCACCAUGGGAAUGGGGACCGGCCCAGGCCCCUAGGGGAGGCAGGAGGGGGGAAUUUGGGAAAAAGGGGGAAAGCCUGAACCAGCAAAGCCGCGUGGGUGAAGAAGGCCUUCGGGUUGUAAAGCACUUUUGGCCGGAAAGAAAUCCUUGGCCCUAAGACGGGCGGGGGAGGACGGGACCGGAAGAAAAAGCACCGGCUAACUAAGG
This 485-nucleotide ribosomal RNA is filed under the name uncultured bacterium. Its description in RNAcentral is "partial 16S ribosomal RNA". It matches the Rfam family "Bacterial small subunit ribosomal RNA", at positions 29 to 506 of the family's 1533-position model. The record is from RNAcentral.